Molecule: long non-coding RNA, 3111 nt
Filed under: Sus scrofa (pig)
Lineage: Eukaryota; Metazoa; Chordata; Mammalia; Artiodactyla; Suidae
Description: lncRNA (ENSSSCG00035006803.1)
Source: RNAcentral
UUUUUUUUUUUUUUUUUUGCCAUACCACAGCAUAUGGAGGUUCCCAGGCUAGGGGUCCAAUCGGAGCCACAGCUGCCAGCCUACACCACAGCCACAGUAACGUGAGAUCCAAGCUGCUUCUGCAACCUACACCACAGCUCAUGGCAACGCCGGAUCCUUAACCCACUGAGUGAGGUUCCUAGUUGGAUUCGUUUCUGCUGCACCAUGAUGGGAACUCUGACAGCUUGUGAAGUUUCUAACAGAAACUAGAGGAGCCCACCUGUCUUUUAUUUUAUCAGUAAAUAAACCUAUUAAAAGGGCCCUUCCACCUCAAGCCCAUGGAAUGAGAAAGGAACACUGAAUAAUUUAAAAUUGAAAUUAUUUUAAAGGAAUUUAACCUUCUUUGGCGUCUUUUUUUUUUUUUUUGUCUUUUGUUGUUGUUGUUGUUGUUGUUGUUGUUGCUAUUUCUUGGGCCGCUCCCACGGCAUAUGGAGGUUCCCAGGCGAGGGGUCGAAUCGGAGCUGUAGCCACCGGCCUACACCAGAGCCACAGCAACGCAGGAUCCGAGCCGUGUCUGCAACCUACACCACAGCUCACGGCAACGCCGGAUCGUUAACCCACUGAGCAAGGGCAGGGACCGAACCCGCAACCUCAUGGUUCCUAGUCGGAUUCGUUAACCACUGCGCCACGAUGGGAACUCCGGCGUCUUUGAAUUCAUUAAAAAGUAAGGACAAGGCUUCAAGGACCAUAGGGACAUCACUGAUAUUCAACUUUGAAAAGUUCGUCUGAUGCUAAUGAGAACAGACCCUGUACUGCCUCAUUCUAGGAAUCUCAGAGAUUUUAUCAAAAUGUAUUUAGUGCUAGUUGUUUAACCCCAUCCUAGAUAUCUUAUUAACAUAGAUUUUGGAAGAGAGAGACAUUUUAUUCUUCUCAGGAACUGAUUUUUUGGGGGCCUGAAUACAUCAGUGUGGAUAAAGCCUAUAGCAUCACCCCAAGAAGAAAUGCAUCAAGCAGGUACAUGGGUCUGCAGAGGCGAUGUGCCCGAGUUGUUGUCGCCGUGAAACUAUUUGAAACAACCUAUGAAGCUUUAGAUAGUGUUUAGAAGACAAUGUUCGAAAUCGUCCUGGCUGUACUGUUUUGGCUUCUGCUGUUGUUUUGUUCCUCUAGGAGGGGCUGAAGUGCAAGGGCGUAUGGAGAGGUGUCCAUGGGCUCAGGGAUUUAGAGACGAUACCGAUGAGACAGUGAAAGAAGAGGAGCAGAGAGGGACAAGGGUUCUGGGGGCCUGGUAGCGUUGCUGGAAUUCAGCCUCUGCCUACAGGGGCUAAAUUGAAAUGCAGAGGCAGCGUUUUGGGUAAGGGAGAAAAAAAUAGCUUUAUUGCUUUUCCAGGCAAAGGAGGGUCACAGCGGGUCGAUGCCCUAAAGACUGUGUCCCCCUUUAGAAAGGAAUGCUAGGAGUUUUAUAGUAAAAAGGAGAAAAACAGGUUUUCAGAUAGGAAUCAGGAUUGGGACAAACAUGCCUUCUUCUUUCUUUGGGGGACUCUUAGUCAUCAAAGCGGGAGUCAGGAGAUCUCGGCCUGGUCAUGAUGGUGGUUGUCUGGGUUACGGCCUCGAAUAACAGUCCUUGUGAAAAGGGCCUAUGGAUCAGAGGGGAGCACAAACUAGGAGAGUGCCUGAAAACAUCAUGCGCUCAUCAUCUUUAACCACAGCAACUGUGCUCAGGUACCUAACCUUUAGCUUAUGAGUGAUUGUGUUUUGGGUGCAGUUGAGCCAGGGAGAAGGACACAAAGGACUCUACACUGUCCCUCCCUGGCCUCUGCAUCCCCUCCCUUCCCUGAUCAGCAACUGUCAGAACCUGUCCCUGGGAACUCAGGGAAGGUCAUGGGGGCUGAAUGAGGCCCAUUUCUUAAGAACAAGAAAUGGGGACACAGACGAGCUCUUGCUCCCAGGAGCCCGCAGGGCUGGGCUCAGUUUCAGCAGGGCUGGAAGAGGAAGCAAGGAGGUUGGCACAUAGGUGGCUCCAUCAUUCAGAGGUGGUCCUGGGGUGUCAGUCCCCAUGGGAUCCACAGCCCCACCCCCCGCCCCACGACAAAGACUACCUGGGUGGACCUUCCAGCACCUUCUCUGGCUGACUCUUGGUCCCCAUCUGCCAGUCCGUCGGUGGCUCAGGGCUGAGGAACAGGGAAGGGCUCCGUGACCAUGCGCCCGGGGCAACAGUAGACACGUCAACACUUUCUUCCAAGAAUACGCUACUUGGAAUUAAAAAAAAAAAAUCAAUAUUUUUUUUUCUUUAAAGCACAAAAGGAAUCAAUCAGUGUUGGUUUUCUUUAGCCCCUGGUGUAGUAUAAUUUUGUAUCACUGCCUGCGUUUGUCAGAAUAAAAAGAAUACUAACCCACCAGCAUGACAGGGGGUGCCUGUGGGCACCUGCCAGGUGCCGUGAUAGCAUGAAGACAAACACAGCAUCAGGGGCUGGUGCAGGGGAGAUGGCUGAGGACAGAGGGGUCUGGACGAUGCCACUGUGUGGGGUCUUUGUGAGCCAACCUUAUGCCAACACUGGAAGCCCCAGGUGCAAAGAGAGCCGAGGCCACGGAGCAUUGGUCGGUGGGGAUGGCAGGGCUGCCAAGGGGAGACAAGGGGCCCUCCCAGGCUUCCCCAGGGGACAGGAAACCUGAGUUUCAGAAGCUGCAGUAGAGGGUGGUCCUUUGUGACUGUCCCCAUCCUCCCUCAGUCACAUCCCGGCUGGCAUGGCACGGGCACCUCCCUGCUGGCAUGGCGUGGGCACCUCCCUGGGGAACAAGAAUGCCCCCCAAGGCCAAGGGCCUUUGGAUCACGUCAUGUUUUAUAACAUUGUGUGUUUUAUCAUGACAUAAUUUAGAGAUACCCGUUUAAUCUUUCAAGACACGAAGGUAAGAAACUCACUGUCUUUGCUGAUCCCACUGUGGGGGUUCAGACUCUCUCAGCUACAGCAUGCUUUGCACCAGCUGUGGAUUUUUUUUCAGCCAGGCAUUCCUAACACGACAUCCUUAUUAACAGACUUUCAGAACUGGUGAGAGACACUCAUCCAGUUGCCACAAGAAAACAAAAAUAUUUCCCUGCGGAAGUGGAGUUGGCUUGAUGGCUUGGAACGUGAACCC